This 1415-nucleotide ribosomal RNA is filed under the name Lactiplantibacillus plantarum. Its description in RNAcentral is "bacterial SSU rRNA". It matches the Rfam family "Bacterial small subunit ribosomal RNA". Lineage: Bacteria; Bacillati; Bacillota; Bacilli; Lactobacillales; Lactobacillaceae. The record is from RNAcentral.
GCAGUCGAACGAACUCUGGUAUUGAUUGGUGCUUGCAUCAUGAUUUACAUUUGAGUGAGUGGCGAACUGGUGAGUAACACGUGGGAAACCUGCCCAGAAGCGGGGGAUAACACCUGGAAACAGAUGCUAAUACCGCAUAACAACUUGGACCGCAUGGUCCGAGCUUGAAAGAUGGCUUCGGCUAUCACUUUUGGAUGGUCCCGCGGCGUAUUAGCUAGAUGGUGGGGUAACGGCUCACCAUGGCAAUGAUACGUAGCCGACCUGAGAGGGUAAUCGGCCACAUUGGGACUGAGACACGGCCCAAACUCCUACGGGAGGCAGCAGUAGGGAAUCUUCCACAAUGGACGAAAGUCUGAUGGAGCAACGCCGCGUGAGUGAAGAAGGGUUUCGGCUCGUAAAACUCUGUUGUUAAAGAAGAACAUAUCUGAGAGUAACUGUUCAGGUAUUGACGGUAUUUAACCAGAAAGCCACGGCUAACUACGUGCCAGCAGCCGCGGUAAUACGUAGGUGGCAAGCGUUGUCCGGAUUUAUUGGGCGUAAAGCGAGCGCAGGCGGUUUUUUAAGUCUGAUGUGAAAGCCUUCGGCUCAACCGAAGAAGUGCAUCGGAAACUGGGAAACUUGAGUGCAGAAGAGGACAGUGGAACUCCAUGUGUAGCGGUGAAAUGCGUAGAUAUAUGGAAGAACACCAGUGGCGAAGGCGGCUGUCUGGUCUGUAACUGACGCUGAGGCUCGAAAGUAUGGGUAGCAAACAGGAUUAGAUACCCUGGUAGUCCAUACCGUAAACGAUGAAUGCUAAGUGUUGGAGGGUUUCCGCCCUUCAGUGCUGCAGCUAACGCAUUAAGCAUUCCGCCUGGGGAGUACGGCCGCAAGGCUGAAACUCAAAGGAAUUGACGGGGGCCCGCACAAGCGGUGGAGCAUGUGGUUUAAUUCGAAGCUACGCGAAGAACCUUACCAGGUCUUGACAUACUAUGCAAAUCUAAGAGAUUAGACGUUCCCUUCGGGGACAUGGAUACAGGUGGUGCAUGGUUGUCGUCAGCUCGUGUCGUGAGAUGUUGGGUUAAGUCCCGCAACGAGCGCAACCCUUAUUAUCAGUUGCCAGCAUUAAGUUGGGCACUCUGGUGAGACUGCCGGUGACAAACCGGAGGAAGGUGGGGAUGACGUCAAAUCAUCAUGCCCCUUAUGACCUGGGCUACACACGUGCUACAAUGGAUGGUACAACGAGUUGCGAACUCGCGAGAGUAAGCUAAUCUCUUAAAGCCAUUCUCAGUUCGGAUUGUAGGCUGCAACUCGCCUACAUGAAGUCGGAAUCGCUAGUAAUCGCGGAUCAGCAUGCCGCGGUGAAUACGUUCCCGGGCCUUGUACACACCGCCCGUCACACCAUGAGAGUUUGUAACACCCAAAGUCGGUGGGGUAAC